AUUGAACGCUGGCGGCAGGCCUAACACAUGCAAGUCGAACGGUAGCACAGAGAGCUUGCUCUCGGGUGACGAGUGGCGGACGGGUGAGUAAUGUCUGGGAAACUGCCCGAUGGAGGGGGAUAACUACUGGAAACGGUAGCUAAUACCGCAUAAUGUCGCAAGACCAAAGAGGGGGACCUUCGGGCCUCUUGCCAUCGGAUGUGCCCAGAUGGGAUUAGCUUGUAGGUGAGGUAACGGCUCACCUAGGCGACGAUCCCUAGCUGGUCUGAGAGGAUGACCAGCCACACUGGAACUGAGACACGGUCCAGACUCCUACGGGAGGCAGCAGUGGGGAAUAUUGCACAAUGGGCGCAAGCCUGAUGCAGCCAUGCCGCGUGUAUGAAGAAGGCCUUCGGGUUGUAAAGUACUUUCAGCGGGGAGGAAGGGAGUGAGGUUAAUAACCUUAUUCAUUGACGUUACCCGCAGAAGAAGCACCGGCUAACUCCGUGCCAGCAGCCGCGGUAAUACAGAGGGUGCAAGCGUUAUUCGGAAUUACUGGGCGUAAGCGCACGCAGGCGGUCUGUCAGUCGGAUGUGAAAUCCCCGGGCUCAACCUGGGAACUGCAUUCGAAACUGGCAGGCUGGAGUCUUGUAGAGGGGGGUAGAAUUCCAGGUGUAGCGGUGAAAUGCGUAGAGAUCUGGAGGAAUACCGGUGGCGAAGGCGGCCCCCUGGACAAAGACUGACGCUCAGGUGCGAAAGCGUGGGGAGCAAACAGGAUUAGAUACCCUGGUAGUCCACGCUGUAAACGAUGUCGACUUGGAGGUUGUUCCCUUGAGGAGUGGCUUCCGGAGCUAACGCGUUAAGUCGACCGCCUGGGGAGUACGGCCGCAAGGUUAAAACUCAAAUGAAUUGACGGGGGCCCGCACAAGCGGUGGAGCAUGUGGUUUAAUUCGAUGCAACGCGAAGAACCUUACCUACUCUUGACAUCCAGAGAACUUAGCAGAGAUGCUUUGGUGCCUUCGGGAACUCUGAGACAGGUGCUGCAUGGCUGUCGUCAGCUCGUGUUGUGAAAUGUUGGGUUAAGUCCCGCAACGAGCGCAACCCUUAUCCUUUGUUGCCAGCGGUCCGGCCGGGAACUCAAAGGAGACUGCCAGUGAUAAACUGGAGGAAGGUGGGGAUGACGUCAAGUCAUCAUGGCCCUUACGAGUAGGGCUACACACGUGCUACAAUGGCAUAUACAAAGAGAAGCGACCUCGCGAGAGCAAGCGGACCUCAUAAAGUAUGUCGUAGUCCGGAUUGGAGUCUGCAACUCGACUCCAUGAAGUCGGAAUCGCUAGUAAUCGUGGAUCAGAAUGCCACGGUGAAUACGUUCCCGGGCCU
This 1359-nucleotide ribosomal RNA is filed under the name uncultured bacterium. Its description in RNAcentral is "bacterial SSU rRNA". It matches the Rfam family "Bacterial small subunit ribosomal RNA", at positions 28 to 1381 of the family's 1533-position model. The record is from RNAcentral.